Danio rerio (zebrafish) is the source of this 4454-nucleotide non-coding RNA. The record is from RefSeq and is a predicted model, not a curated record. Lineage: Eukaryota; Metazoa; Chordata; Actinopteri; Cypriniformes; Danionidae.
GGAAAAGUGGGAAUAUUUUUACUUUAUUUUUACUAGAUAUAUUUGAAUAUAAUAAUUUGAUUGGUGAUCAAUUCUCAAAAGCUUUUUAUUAAUACUUGCUCACAUUCUAGAUAAAAAUUCAGAAGUCAACAUCUGAAAUAAACACAAACUUUAAUAAAAUCCUGAAAAUAAAAAUGUGUUGAUAAAUAUUUUUAGGACAGCUCCGAUGAAAGGUUUGCACCACUUCAAAUGUUGACUACUGCAUGCUUAUCCAGGAUUUCUGCAGAUAUUAUAAUGUAAAAUUUAAGACUUUAAGACUAUUAAGUAUUAAGUUUAAGACCUAUAGCACAAUUUCAAAAACACGCGAGAGAAAAGGUAAAAAAAUAAAUACAUUUUUUUAAAAUAAAAAUUCACAAAAUUUGUGGUAAAAUAAAUGUCUUUAAAUUGAAGACCGGAGUACUAAAUUGUUCACCGUAGUACUACAGACAGGUUAUAUGCACCAUUGAACUACAGAAAAAACAAACACCUUAAUGCUGAUUUAUACUUUCUCCUGGCACCGCGUCACACGCCUCACAAACGGACUUGGCAUUUAUAUACGACACGUUCGCUAGUCUAAAAUGAUAGGGGUGGUCAAAAGAAACAGACAGUAAAAAUCAGACGAAUUUUUUGGGCCUUUAAUUUUGUUUUAAUAAACUUACCCCCCAGGUUUUUACAAACUCUUACAAAAACUUUACUCCUUUCCCACUGCUGUAGCAAUUUCUUGUCAAGAAUUGUUGGUCAUCUGGUUCUCUCUAUGAUCACGCAUGGACGGAUCAUAAAGAUGUCGGCACAGACGUACCGGUUUCACACAAAAUCUCUUCAAAGCGUUUCAUAUUCAACUCAAAUGUGACGCCAUGCCAUUUGUUCACCGGAGUCUCAAAAAAAAUUCUAUUAGCUUCGCUAUGGUGUUACUUCCAGUCAAGAGCGCAUUUAUGUAAUACAAGCAGGCAAAUCUAUUUGCUCGUGCACCGAUUUCCUCUGUUUGUGGACAAAACUGCAAAUUUUCUCACUCUCAAAUAUGCACUGCUCCUGCACCAUUUUUUUUUCCUGCUCUCAGUACAUAUUUCCCUCUUCCUUUCGUGCUUUUUGAUAUGAUUUAUAUUGGUACACUAUUAAUUAACAAGAACCAAAAUACUUAAAUAGACUUACAUAUUACAUUUUUAAUCUAAUAAACCAUAACAUUGACUGUUCUAUGAUGAGAUUUCCGGUUUUAAUUUAAUCACUCUUAAAAUAAAUCUCAACCAAAUCUAAUUUUUAUCAUGGCAACUAAAAUAAUGUAAACUAGUCUCUGCUGUACAGUUUUGUAAAGUACUUCAAUUAAUAAUACUAUAUUUGCUAUAGUAACAAAGGUGUAACAAACAAACAAUCCAGUGCUGUAGUUUUUUUUAACAAUAUAGGGUAUAUUAUUCUACAAUACACCAAACUUUACUGUAGUAAAACUACACUGUAUUUCACUUUAUCGGUUUACUAUUCUUAAUACUACAGUAUGCUCAAGCAUCUCUAGAGAGCAAAAGCACGAAAAGAGGAGGAUACACAAGCCAUAAAAAGUGCGAGUCCGCAUUGUGCGACGGAUCUAGAGCAGACCAUUUACACACGAGUUGCCAGUGUUGAGUGCACGUGAAAAAGUUACACGAAUGCGCUCACGACGUGUAAUACUGCGCUGACAACAUUAGUCAGUGAAAUAUUGCCAUACUCUGCCAGCCGAAAUCAUGUGGCGUGCAACCACAGCGUACCUCCGCAAACACAUCGAUGAUGUCACAUUCGCUGUGCGCACUGAGAUUGGCUAUUGCAAGUUGACAUUUUUGUAAUUGUAAUACCGCAAAUAACAAUUGGACUAGUUAAAUAAAAAAAAAUGGCAAAACGCCAAAAACCUAGCAGCAAAAAAAAAAAAAAAAAAAAGAAUUUAAAUGAGCAUUAGAUUUAGCGUUACAUGGACGUCGCAAAAAUAAGACGUGGAAAAAUAUUUAAGACCUAGAACACCGAAUUUCAGCCUUUAAGGCUUUAAAUUUCGAUUUUUAAAUUUUAGACUUAAGAUUUUAUAAGACCCUGUGGAAACCCUGUUAUCUGGUGCUUGCAAGUGGCUCUUUUGAGCAGAAAGCAGAUUGCAAGCCAUUUCACAGAACCAAAACACUCAUUUAUCAGUAAUAGUUGGUAAUCAACUAAAAAGAAGUUGAUUUCAAUUCAACAUAUUUUUUACAUAAAUCAUUAAUACAAAGAUGUUAUUAAAAUACAAUGACAUUACAUGUUCCUUAUGCCAGUUUGUCAAAUUAAAUAUUUCUGAUCAAAAUUAAAUAUUUCUGAUCCACAAAUAUCUUAUGUAUUGUCUUGCAAAAAGACAUAGUAAACCCCUAAAAAAAUUGCAACGCCAACACAAACCCCUGGAUUACUUUUGAAUAAUAUUUCAGGUGAAAUCUGAUGAAAUCUGAGAACUCCCUCAUCCUCAACAGACAGCAACGGUCUAAAAGUUUAAAAACAAAAUCCUUAAAAAAAAAAAAAAAAGACCAUAUGCCUUUAGUGCUUCAAUCGUAAUAUCAAUCUAUAAGAUUUGGAUAUGCACACCCUUACAAAAAUAGCCUACAGGAAUCCUGCAGGAUUUUCAUUUUUUUCUGCAGGAACCUGCUGGUAUCCUGUAGGAAUUAUGAAAUCCUGCAGGACAAAUUGACAAUAUGUGCAGGCAAUUCCUACAGGUUUUAGAAUCAUGCAGUACUUUUUGCAGGAAUCCUGAAGGAUUCAUUUUUUUUCCCUGCAGAAAAGCUGCUGUCCUGCAGGAAUUCAAAAAUCCUGUAAGACACAUUGACAAUAUGUGCAGGAAUUUCCUACAGGUUUUUACAAUGGAUCCAAGCAAGUGACAAAUCCUGCAGGAUUUUAUAAUUCCUGCAGGGCUUGCAGGAAUUAUUUGUUGUAAUUGGAAUGAAAGAAAUUGUGUCACUUGUUUUUGGUAGCAAUACAAUAUGAGUUCUAACAGAUAAACAUUACAACAAACAAACAAAAUAUAAGAAAAUAAAUACAUAAAGUAUACAAAUAGAUUAUAGGCAAUUAUAAAAAUCAACCAUUACACUAAACCAUUCAAAUUAUGCAUUUAUGCAAACAAGCAAGCUGUACACUUUUACGUUUCAUUUCUAUACUUUUUUUUUCAUUUAUUAAAAAUCUGUUUGGUUAGAUGCAAAAAAUAAAUAAAUAAAAUAAAUAAAUAAAAAAAAUGCAAGACCUGUCCUUGAGGUAGAUAUAUGUUAAACGUAUGUCUGUGCAUUUUAUGAGUUCAACAGAGUCUCUUCCUCUUUCUUUUAAAAUGUUUGUUGCUGUUAUCCUUUAUUCUCUGUCUUUUUGACCUGAGCAACCUAUUUUAUUCUGUGUCCAUUGCCUUUUUGUGGCAGCUGGAACUGGUGCCUCUUCAUUUAAGUACAAUUUUUACUCCAUUUUUAUUCUUUUAAAAGAAGCAGGUUACGGUUAUUGUUCAGGUGAUUGGUAAACAUAAUGUGUUUUCUGCAAUGUUAGAGUAAAUUUAAUUAUUAAAUUAAUAUAAACAUUUGUUAAACAUUUUAAAUAAAAUAAGAUAUAAAUGCUAAAUUGAAAUUAGAUAAUACAUUGCUGCCAAUAAUGUAUAGGUCUAUUUUAUACACAUUAUAUAUUUACAAUAUUUUAAGUUAAUAAUGACUACUACUAAUAUAUGUGUGUGUAUUAUUUGACAAAAUGGACUUGAGUAGACACAUUAAAACAAACAUUCUUAUAAACAGACUUUUUUCUUUAACAAAAUAAAUGAUUUGUUUGUGGAAUACGUGUGUUUUGAUGAAUCUGUGCUUUACAGAUUCACACAGUCUUUCACACUUAAAAAAGACGCUCGUUUUCGCCACCUACUGGCGUUACAGUGUAGUUUACAUUAUAAACUCCGGUAAAAUGAAUCAUUCAGAGAAAAGAUUCGAUUCAUUGAGAUGACUCGCUUCACGUCGCCGAUUCGAAUGCACGUCAGUCAACUGUCACCAACCGUCUUCUGAAGGUAAAACACUUUUCUUAAGUUAUUUUAUCGUUAAAGUGCUCUAAUAAAUGCUCUGUUUUAAUGUUAAAUCAGUAAAUUGUUUUGUAACACCAAAACAAAUACUUACCUGAUUUUUAAAGUCGAGAUCACAUUAACAAUACUAGUACAUUGCUAACGUAAUAUACUAAGGUCUACUACCGCCCAUCAUAUCAGAACUUAAUUUAAAAAAUGACUAUAUGAAAUGAUAUUUUUAUCAUUGUUAACAUAACCAGUGUUUUAUUUAGUAUUUUCACUGCUUAUAAAUGGUGCUAAUAUAGUUUUUUGUUACCUCAGAAAUCAUUUAUCGCUGCGGCCGGACAGCAAACUACUCUUUGGCAGGUACAUUAAGAAAAUGGGCAAAAGAUGAGUCCUAACAUUAGUGGAAUGGAGGGAGGAACCAUCGACCUAUGACAUUAUUGUUUCU